RNAcentral lists this ribosomal RNA (433 nucleotides) under uncultured bacterium. Its description in RNAcentral is "partial 16S ribosomal RNA". It matches the Rfam family "Bacterial small subunit ribosomal RNA", at positions 29 to 507 of the family's 1533-position model. The record is from RNAcentral.
AACGAACGCUGGCGGCAGGCUUAACACAUGCAAGUCGAGCGAGACCUUCGGGUCUAGCGGCGGACGGGUGAGUAACGCGUGGGAACGUGCCCUUCUCUACGGAAUAGUCCCGGUAAACUGGGAGUAAUACCGUAUACGCCCUUCGGGGGAAAGAUUCAUCGUAGAAGGAUCGGCCCGCGUUGGAUUAGGUAGUUGGUGGGGUAAUGGCCCACCAAGCCGACGAUCCAUAGCUGGUUUGAGAGGAUGAUCAGCCACACUGGGACUGAGACACGGCCCAGACUCCUACGGGAGGCAGCAGUGGGGAAUCUUAGACAAUGGGGGCAACCCUGAUCUAGCCAUGCCGCGUGAGUGAUGAAGGCCUUAGGGUUGUAAAGCUCUUUCAGCUGGGAAGAUAAUGACGGUACCAGCAGAAGAAGCCCCGGCUAACUCCGUG